GGUGCAUGGCCGUCGUCAGUUCGGUACUGUGAAGCAUCCUGUUAAGUCAGGCAACGAGCGAGACCCACGCCCACAGUUGCCAGCGUACUCUCUGGAGUGACGGGUACACUGUGGGGACCGCCGCUGCUAAAGCGGAGGAAGGAAUGGGCAACGGUAGGUCAGUAUGCCCCGAAUAUCCCGGGCUACACGCGAGCUACAAUGGUUGGUACAAUGGGUAUCUACCCCGAAAGGGGACGGGAAUCUCCUAAAACCAAUCUUAGUUCGGAUUGAGGGCUGCAACUCGCCCUCAUGAAGCUGGAAUCCGUAGUAAUCGCGUUUCAACAGAACGCGGUGAAUACGUCCCUGCUCCUU
This 351-nucleotide ribosomal RNA is filed under the name uncultured Methanosaeta sp. RNAcentral's name for it is "bacterial SSU rRNA". It matches the Rfam family "Archaeal small subunit ribosomal RNA", at positions 989 to 1338 of the family's 1478-position model. The record is from RNAcentral. Lineage: Archaea; Methanobacteriati; Methanobacteriota; Methanomicrobia; Methanotrichales; Methanotrichaceae.